This 253-nucleotide ribosomal RNA is filed under the name uncultured bacterium. RNAcentral's name for it is "partial 16S ribosomal RNA". It matches the Rfam family "Bacterial small subunit ribosomal RNA", at positions 524 to 776 of the family's 1533-position model. The record is from RNAcentral.
UACGAAGGGGGCUAGCGUUGCUCGGAAUUACUGGGCGUAAAGCGCACGUAGGCGGCUUUCUAAGUCGGGGGUGAAAUCCUGGAGCUCAACUCCGGAACUGCCAUUGAAACUGUUUAGCUUGAGGAUGAGAGAGGUGAGUGGAAUUCCCAGUGUAGAGGUGAAAUUCGUAGAUAUUGGGAAGAACACCGGUGGCGAAGGCGGCUCACUGGCUCAUUACUGACGCUCAGGCGCGAUAGCGUGGGGAUCAAACAGG